AUGUCACCUCCGACUUGGACCCCUGAUGAGACCUCAGACUCUUCCCUCUGGUCACAGCUACAGCAGCUCUCAAAGAUAGCAGCCCUCUCAAAGAUGGCAUGGCACCCCAGCAUGGAUAGGGGGCUGUCACUUCCUAUCAUGUGCAUCUGGGCUCCAGGGACAGCAGGGGCGGGGCCUGGGGGCGGGGUUCUGGGGGAGUUUCCAGCAAGAGGGGGAUGUGGUCCCUUUCGACUCAUAGUGGGUCCUGGGAUGUCCCUGCUGAUCUCAGUCAACUGGCCUCACUCCUUGCCUCUCACUUCUCUCAUAAACCAAGCAGGAAGAAUUUGGGAGCCCGAGCCUGACAGCCUUCCUGGAGCUGCUGAGGCAGACAGUGAGGGCACUCUGGGGCUCCUUCUUGUGUGCUGAGUGAUCCUCUCUGUCCUCUAUCCCUGCCUUCCUCUGACCGUAAUGCUGCUUUAUGUCCCGUCUGCUGACCUGAGGGCAAGACCUCACCUGGAAGAUGUCAAAUCCACAGACGCCUGGUGAGAAGUGCACCGGCAUCUCAUCUGGACGAUUCUGCCUAAGGCUUCCUGGAAAUGGCUGCUGCAGGUAAGAUAAGCGAGAGGGAAGGAUGGGUGAAUGCUGUCUGUGGUGUGAAAUCCCUCACAUCUCACUCAGGAUCUUCAUAUUGACUGCAGGCGGAGCCUGGAAACCCUUCCCUUUCUGGUAUAAAACGACCCCUGUCCCCAACCAUGCCCCACACAAUCCCAGCAGAGAAAGUGAAGGGGCUCCUUAGCCUGACGGUUCUCACUGCGGGCUCUUAGUCGACUGCAGGGGCAUUGCUUGAAAGUUCUGAGAUGAAUUUCGGUCCUUUUGUACAAUUACUGUGAUACAGGCUUUUCUCUUUUAGUGCACGUGUGACAGUCUCUUAAGCUCAUCAUUUACAAGGGCCAGUUGUCGUCCACUAACAAAGUUUGUGCUGGUUAUUGCAUGACCUCUGGGCCAUACUGCCAUUGUCCAGUUACCCAACGUUGGUGACCCCUGAGCCUGGCAUGGCGGCUCUGAGAUGCUGCCUCAGGUUCCUUCAGUGAAGCAGUGAAGGUUCAUGGUCCCACGGCCCAGUGGAAGAAUCAACCGCUCCAGUUUAAAGCCUUUUCCAUCUGAUCUGUUGUCUGUUUCCUUUGUGGCCUGCACACCUGUGUCAGCUUCAGAGUACUCCCCGACCUGGGCACUCGUUGGUCAAGUUCAAAGGAGACUUAUGUUCCUCAGGGAUUAUUUAGUUUGUGUUCUUGCUUUUGUUAGUAGUUGUCUUUAUCCUUGUAUAAUUUUCCAUGUUUGUUCUGGGUACAGGAAACAGCUGCCCACGUGUGACUCAGCUACUCUGGAU
This 1366-nucleotide long non-coding RNA is filed under the name Bos indicus x Bos taurus (hybrid cattle). RNAcentral describes it as "lncRNA (ENSBIXG00005004913.1)". Lineage: Eukaryota; Metazoa; Chordata; Mammalia; Artiodactyla; Bovidae. The record is from RNAcentral.